GCUUCCCUCAGAAACACAGAUACUAUAAUGGGGACAGUGCAGAGAAGAUGGACAUGACCUCUGAACAAGGAUGACAUACAAAUUUGUGAAGUAUUCUAUUCACUG
Small nuclear RNA from Pteronotus mesoamericanus, 105 nucleotides. The record is from RefSeq and is a predicted model, not a curated record. NCBI's taxonomy places the organism in Eukaryota, Metazoa, Chordata, Mammalia, Chiroptera, Mormoopidae.